UUUCCGUAGGUGAACCUGCGGAAGGAUCAUUAAUGAGUUGUCAUGGGGUUCGAUGCUGGCAGCCAAUUUUUGGAUGCAUGUGCUUGCCCUAACAAUCAUCUUCCAAACACCUGUGCACAUUUUUGAGGGAGUCCUGAGUUGGUUGCCGCUCUUGGGUGAUUUCUCACAUUCCCUUAAAUCUUUAUACGCUAUUAACAAUGUUGAACGUGCUCUGUGCCGCAAGGCUAUUAAUAUAAUACAACUUUUAACAACGGAUCUCUUGGCUCUC
RNAcentral lists this unclassified non-coding RNA (268 nucleotides) under plant metagenome. RNAcentral describes it as "partial contains small subunit ribosomal RNA, internal transcribed spacer 1, and 5.8S ribosomal RNA". The record is from RNAcentral.